Small nucleolar RNA from Eptesicus fuscus (big brown bat), 134 nucleotides. RefSeq annotates it as small nucleolar RNA SNORA42/SNORA80 family. NCBI's taxonomy places the organism in Eukaryota, Metazoa, Chordata, Mammalia, Chiroptera, Vespertilionidae. The transcript has a single exon. The record is from RefSeq and is a predicted model, not a curated record.
GCAUGGGUUUGGAUUUAUGAUAGGCCUGCACCCCUGGGUCUUUCAUAGUGCCCCAUGCCAGAGCAAACUGUGGCCUUGAAUCAUUGCCUGGCCUCUGCCCAUAGGCAGCAGGCACUGAAGCACGUUACACAGUG